UAUGUUUUAAUGUAAGAGGCAUAUAAAUUUUUGAAGUUUAGAGAGAUAGUUUAAUUCUAUUAGACAUAA
RNAcentral lists this transfer RNA (69 nucleotides) under Pheidole megacephala. Its description in RNAcentral is "tRNA-Gln". The record is from RNAcentral. Lineage: Eukaryota; Metazoa; Arthropoda; Insecta; Hymenoptera; Formicidae.